UACGUAGGGUCCGAGCGUUGUCCGGAAUUACUGGGCGUAAAGAGCUCGUAGGCGGUUUGUCGCGUUGUUCGUGAAAACUCACAGCUCAACUGUGGGCGUGCGGGCGAUACGGGCAGACUUGAGUACUGCAGGGGAGACUGGAAUUCCUGGUGUAGCGGUGGAAUGCGCAGAUAUCAGGAGGAACACCGGUGGCGAAGGCGGGUCUCUGGGCCUUACCUGACGCUGAGGAGCGAAAGCGUGGGUAGCGAACAGG
This 253-nucleotide ribosomal RNA is filed under the name uncultured bacterium. RNAcentral's name for it is "partial 16S ribosomal RNA". It matches the Rfam family "Bacterial small subunit ribosomal RNA", at positions 524 to 776 of the family's 1533-position model. The record is from RNAcentral.